UACGGAGGCUGCAAGCGUUCUCCGGAAUGAUUGGGCGUAAAGCGUCCGCAGGUGGCCAUGUAAGUCUGCUGUUAAAGAGUGAGGCUCAACCUCAUAAGAGCAGUGGAAACUACAUAGCUAGAGUGCGUUCGGGGCAAAGGGAAUUCCUGGUGUAGCGGUGAAAUGCGUAGAGAUCAGGAAGAACACCGGUGGCGAAAGCGCUUUGCUAGGCCGCAACUGACACUGAGGGACGAAAGCUAGGGGAGCGAAUGGG
RNAcentral lists this ribosomal RNA (253 nucleotides) under uncultured bacterium. RNAcentral's name for it is "partial 16S ribosomal RNA". It matches the Rfam family "Bacterial small subunit ribosomal RNA", at positions 524 to 776 of the family's 1533-position model. The record is from RNAcentral.